GGGGAUGUCUUGGAUUCGACAGGGGUCAGUCUGAAUAAAGUUGCAGUCGUAGGAGUACGUUAAACUCACAAACAAAUAUCUGGAAACAGAACUAAUUACGCUUUCGCUUAAUAGUCGACAAACUGACUUGCGAAUGCAAGCUCACUAAGUCUUACAUUAGUGAUGUCUUGUAACAUAAACAAAGUAAGAUAAGGAUUAAAAGACGUCUCGAUUUUAAUCACGAAAAUAAAGAGAACCGGUAAGUGAAAGACUGCUUGUGGAUCGUAGCUUACUUAAAUUCAUUCGACAAGAUAAACUGUAGAAGCUUUAUAUGGGACGGCUUUUGGACAGGGGUUCGAUUCCCCUCAUCUCCACCA
Molecule: non-coding RNA, 356 nt
Organism: Kandleria vitulina DSM 20405
Lineage: Bacteria; Bacillati; Bacillota; Erysipelotrichia; Erysipelotrichales; Coprobacillaceae
Rfam family: transfer-messenger RNA
About the family: Bacterial tmRNA, also known as 10Sa RNA or SsrA, is named for its dual tRNA and mRNA-like properties. Its role is to liberate the mRNA from a stalled ribosome.
Source: Rfam